UGGUUCUGGCAUCGAUGAAGAACGCAGCGAAAUGCGAUAAGUAAUGUGAAUUGCAGAAUUCAGUGAAUCAUCGAAUCUUUGAACGCACAUUGCGCCCGCCAGCACUCUGGCGGGCAUGCCUGUUCGAGCGUCAUUUCAACCCUCGAGCCCCCUGUGGGUUCGGUGCUGGGGGACGGUUCACUGUAGCCGCCCCCGAAAUGUAUUGGCGGUCUCGCUGCAGCCUCCUCUGCGUAGUAGAAACACCUCGCUCUGGAACGCGGCGCGGCCAUGCCGUAAAACACCCAACUUCUGAAAGGUUGACCUCGGAUCAGGUAGGAAUACCCGCUGA
Molecule: unclassified non-coding RNA, 328 nt
Filed under: uncultured fungus
Lineage: Eukaryota; Fungi
Description: partial contains 5.8S ribosomal RNA and internal transcribed spacer 2
Rfam family: 5.8S ribosomal RNA (bases 1-133)
Source: RNAcentral